Molecule: ribosomal RNA, 741 nt
Filed under: Triticum aestivum (bread wheat)
Lineage: Eukaryota; Viridiplantae; Streptophyta; Magnoliopsida; Poales; Poaceae
Description: partial small subunit ribosomal RNA
Source: RNAcentral
AUGUCUUGUGUGAAAGAGCCAGCCGAGCGCUUUGUAGCAUUUGAAGGGAUGCAGACGGGUAGGAGGUUUCUUGGAUGUGCUAAGAAGGAAGGCAUAAACAGUGGAGUAGUUCAAUGGAUUGAUUUUGAAUGGCCAGACUCAAUGGAGAAGGCAUUGGCCAAGCUAUGGGAUAUGUAUGAGGAGAUUAAGUCAGCUAGGACCAAUGACAAUCUAGAGUGUUCCUUUGCAAUUCACAACCUGACAGAAGAGAAGAAGAAACUACAGGAGAACUAUGACAGUUUGUAUGCUGAUGUGAAUGCUCUUUUGGAUGCCCAGCAGCAGAGGGGUGUGGAGUUAACCAAUCAAAAGGAGCAGAAGCAAUAUCUUGAAGUGAAAAUUGCUGAGCUAGAAACUGUAGUUGGCAACUUGAAGGCAGAGCUGUCAAAGAAAGAGGAGGAGAAGAAGAAACUACAGGAGAACUAUGACAGUUUGUAUGCUGAUGUGAAUUCUCUCUUGGAUGCCCAGCAGCAGAGGGGUGUGGAGUUAAACAAUCAGAAGGAGCAGAAGGAAUAUGUUGAUGUGAAGAUUGUUGAGCUUGAGACUAUAGUGGGGAACUUGAAGGCAGAGCUGUCAAAGACAGAGGAGGAGAAGAACAAGAUGUUGCGAAACUAUGAAACUCUGAAGAACCUGACAUGUGCUCAAGCCAAUGUGAUUAGGAACUUGAAUUUCAAUCAUUUGAAGGAGAAGGAGAGGCUGGCAUAA